AAACAGUUAUUCUGACUCAGAGUUCUGAGAUAAUUGUUAUUAAUUUUGAAUGUUACAAGCUAUAGUAUACUGGAGAGAUAUAGACGCCAGAACUGUUUUAUGAUUAUGGGACAAAUGUAACGUCUGAUUAUAUGAAAGAAAGGAACAAUCAUUUAUUAUGUGCCAACUGUAUGCCCGGUAUUAUACUAAACACUACAAAUAUCAUAUCAUUGGAUCCCACAGCUACCCUGGGAGGAUGUGGCAAGAAAAGGCCCCUUUUAUAACUUGGAAUCCUCAGAAGAAUGGAAAAAACCCACCUUCAACAAAUUCAAUUCUGAGCCUUCAAGAACUUAGCAUAAAUGUCUCAGUGUUCAUAGUGAUGUUACUUGUCAUCAUGCAGAAGCAUUGCAAAGAGAGCUACUCCAGUGAAAAUGCAGAAGAUAUAAAGAUGUUCAGGAGCCCCAAAUAG
RNAcentral lists this long non-coding RNA (448 nucleotides) under Monodelphis domestica (gray short-tailed opossum). RNAcentral describes it as "lncRNA (ENSMODG00000036286.2)". The record is from RNAcentral. Lineage: Eukaryota; Metazoa; Chordata; Mammalia; Didelphimorphia; Didelphidae.